UGGGGAAUAUUGGACAAUGGGCGCAAGCCUGAUCCAGCCAUGCCGCGUGAGUGAUGAAGGCCCUAGGGUUGUAAAGCUCUUUCAGCGAGGAGGAUAAUGACGUUACUCGCAGAAGAAGCCCCGGCUAACUUCGUGCCAGCAGCCGCGGUAAUACGAAGGGGGCUAGCGUUGUUCGGAAUCACUGGGCGUAAAGCGCACGUAGGCGGACUUUUAAGUCAGGGGUGAAAUCCCGGGGCUCAACCUCGGAACUGCCUUUGAUACUGGAAGUCUGGAGUCCGAGAGAGGUGAGUGGAACUCCGAGUGUAGAGGUGAAAUUCGUAGAUAUUCGGAAGAACACCAGUGGCGAAGGCGGCUCACUGGCUCGGUACUGACGCUGAGGUGCGAAAGCGUGGGGAGCAAAACAGGAUUAGAUACCCUGGUAGUCCACGCCGUAAACGAUGGAAGCUAGCCGUCAGGGUGCAUGCAUCUUGGUGGCGCAGUUAACGCAUUAAGCUUCCCGCCUGGGGAGUACGGUCGCAAGAUUAAAACUCAAAUGAAUUGACGGGGUCAUAGCUGUUUCCU
Molecule: ribosomal RNA, 561 nt
Filed under: uncultured bacterium
Lineage: Bacteria
Description: partial 16S ribosomal RNA
Rfam family: Bacterial small subunit ribosomal RNA
Source: RNAcentral